GAUAAACGCUGGCGGCGUGCCUUACGCAUGCAAGUCGAACGGUGUCUUUCGGGGCACAGUGGCGGACGGGUGAGUAACACGUACGUGACCUGACUCUGAGUGGGGGAUACCCGCCCGAAAGGGUGGCUAAUACCGCAUGAGCUUGUCCGGGGACGCUGGGCAAGGGAAGGGCCUUCGGGCCCGCUGAGAGAGGGGCGUGCGGCCGAUUAGCUAGUUGGUGGGGUAAGGGCCUACCAAGGCAGUGAUCGGUAGCUGGGCUGAGAGGCCGGACAGCCAC
This 277-nucleotide ribosomal RNA is filed under the name uncultured bacterium. RNAcentral describes it as "partial 16S ribosomal RNA". It matches the Rfam family "Bacterial small subunit ribosomal RNA", at positions 28 to 311 of the family's 1533-position model. The record is from RNAcentral.